GUAAGGAAUAUUGGUCAAUGGACGAAAGUCUGAACCAGCCAUGCCGCGUGAAGGAUGAAGGCCCUCUGGGUUGUAAACUUCUUUUAUCUGGGACGAAAAAAGGGUAUUCUUACUCACUUGACGGUACCAGAGGAAUAAGCACCGGCUAACUCCGUGCCAGCAGCCGCGGUAAUACGGAGGGUGCAAGCGUUAUCCGGAUUCACUGGGUUUAAAGGGUGCGUAGGUGGGUAUUUAAGUCAGUGGUGAAAUCUCCGAGCUUAACUCGGAAACUGCCAUUGAUACUAUUUAACUUGAAUGCCCUGGAGGUAAGCGGAAUAUGUCAUGUAGCGGUGAAAUGCUUAGAUAUGACAUAGAACACCAAUUGCGAAGGCAGCUUACUACGGGGUGAUUGACACUGAGGCACGAAAGCGUGGGGAGCAAACAGGAUUAGAAACCCUUGUAGUCC
This 445-nucleotide ribosomal RNA is filed under the name uncultured bacterium. Its description in RNAcentral is "partial 16S ribosomal RNA". It matches the Rfam family "Bacterial small subunit ribosomal RNA", at positions 354 to 796 of the family's 1533-position model. The record is from RNAcentral.